Molecule: ribosomal RNA, 492 nt
Filed under: uncultured bacterium
Lineage: Bacteria
Description: partial 16S ribosomal RNA
Rfam family: Bacterial small subunit ribosomal RNA
Source: RNAcentral
AGUGAACGCUGGCGGUAGGCCUAACACAUGCCAGUCGAACGGCAGCACAGUAAGAGCUUGCUCUUACGGGUGGCGAGUGGCGGACGGGUGAGGAAUACAUCGGAAUCUACUUUUUCGGGGGGGAUAACGUAGGGAAACUUACGCUAAUACCGCAUACGACCUACGGGUGAAAGCAGGGGAUCUUCGGACCUUUCGCGAUUGAAUGAGCUGAUGUCGGAUUAGCUAGUUGGCGGGGUAAAGGCCCACCAAGGCGACGAUCCGUAGCUGGUCUGAGAGGAUGAUCAGCCACACUGGAACUGAGACACGGUCCAGACUCCUACGGGAGGCAGCAGUAGGGAAUAUUGGACAAUGGGCGCAAGCCUGAUCCAGCAAUACCGCGUGGGUGAAGAAGGCCUUCGGGUUGUAAAGCUCUGUUGUUGGGAAAGAACAGCAGCAGGUUAAUACCUCGCUGUUCUGACGGUACCCAAAGAAUAAGCACCGGCUAACUUCGUG